GUUGGUCCAGUGCAGCAGAGAGCAUAAGCUGGUGGAGCUAGCCAGAAGCCUGGCUCAACCAGAAAUGAGAAACCAAAUGACCUUGGGAAAGCCUGGGAUGGGCGAAUACGGCAGCUGCUGUCCGCCGUGGGUGGCUACCCACACACCAUGUCCUGGGACAUUACAGCCUGAGGAGGAAUAGAACGUGCAUGCAUUCCAGAACCUGACCCUUUGCAAAGUUAUAACAGAGACCUACACACAGAACUUCUCUGUCCUGCAGGAAGCGAAUAUUGAGAAUAGCAUUGGGCAUACUCUGAAAUUUGGACUACACAGAUGGUCAGCUGGUCCUCAAGACUGAAAACACACACCAACAUUUAUUUUCUGUAUUUUAUUUAUAGUUUUUAUUUAUUUAUUUAUUUUACUUUGAGCCUUGAAGGCAUUUUAUGAUGAAAUUGUAAUAUAAUGUUGCACUGUUCUCACCCAUGUUGAAUUCCUGAUAUUUGUCAAUUAGGCAUUCCCUCAGCCUCAAGACUGGAAACACAUUAUAUGCACUCACAUCCAUUUUUGCCAUCUUCAUUCUUAUUUUGUGCAUUUUACAUUGUUUGGUUUUGUUGUUUGUUUGGUUUUUUUGCCUUGUUUGCAUUUUAUUAUGAAAAAACAUUGUAAUGUUGCACUGUUACCCUCUUACCUAUGUUGUAUUCCUGAUAUUUUCCUAUUAAACAUCAUCAUCCUUCAACAUUUGCCUUGUCAUUUCAAAUGCAUUCAACACUUUAAUAA
Engraulis encrasicolus (European anchovy) is the source of this 756-nucleotide long non-coding RNA. RefSeq lists it as uncharacterized. Lineage: Eukaryota; Metazoa; Chordata; Actinopteri; Clupeiformes; Engraulidae. The record is from RefSeq and is a predicted model, not a curated record. The transcript is spliced from 4 exons.